This 1558-nucleotide ribosomal RNA is filed under the name Escherichia coli. RNAcentral's name for it is "bacterial SSU rRNA". It matches the Rfam family "Bacterial small subunit ribosomal RNA". Lineage: Bacteria; Pseudomonadati; Pseudomonadota; Gammaproteobacteria; Enterobacterales; Enterobacteriaceae. The record is from RNAcentral.
UUAAAUUGAAGAGUUUGAUCAUGGCUCAGAUUGAACGCUGGCGGCAGGCCUAACACAUGCAAGUCGAACGGUAACAGGAAAGCAGCUUGCUGCUUUCGCUGACGAGUGGCGGACGGGUGAGUAAUGUCUGGGAAACUGCCUGAUGGAGGGGGAUAACUACUGGAAACGGUAGCUAAUACCGCAUAACGUCGCAAGACCAAAGAGGGGGACCUUCGGGCCUCUUGCCAUCGGAUGUGCCCAGAUGGGAUUAGCUUGUUGGUGGGGUAACGGCUCACCAAGGCGACGAUCCCUAGCUGGUCUGAGAGGAUGACCAGCCACACUGGAACUGAGACACGGUCCAGACUCCUACGGGAGGCAGCAGUGGGGAAUAUUGCACAAUGGGCGCAAGCCUGAUGCAGCCAUGCCGCGUGUAUGAAGAAGGCCUUCGGGUUGUAAAGUACUUUCAGCGGGGAGGAAGGGAGUAAAGUUAAUACCUUUGCUCAUUGACGUUACCCGCAGAAGAAGCACCGGCUAACUCCGUGCCAGCAGCCGCGGUAAUACGGAGGGUGCAAGCGUUAAUCGGAAUUACUGGGCGUAAAGCGCACGCAGGCGGUUUGUUAAGUCAGAUGUGAAAUCCCCGGGCUCAACCUGGGAACUGCAUCUGAUACUGGCAAGCUUGAGUCUCGUAGAGGGGGGUAGAAUUCCAGGUGUAGCGGUGAAAUGCGUAGAGAUCUGGAGGAAUACCGGUGGCGAAGGCGGCCCCCUGGACGAAGACUGACGCUCAGGUGCGAAAGCGUGGGGAGCAAACAGGAUUAGAUACCCUGGUAGUCCACGCCGUAAACGAUGUCGACUUGGAGGUUGUGCCCUUGAGGCGUGGCUUCCGGAGCUAACGCGUUAAGUCGACCGCCUGGGGAGUACGGCCGCAAGGUUAAAACUCAAAUGAAUUGACGGGGGCCCGCACAAGCGGUGGAGCAUGUGGUUUAAUUCGAUGCAACGCGAAGAACCUUACCUGGUCUUGACAUCCACGGAAGUUUUCAGAGAUGAGAAUGUGCCUUCGGGAACCGUGAGACAGGUGCUGCAUGGCUGUCGUCAGCUCGUGUUGUGAAAUGUUGGGUUAAGUCCCGCAACGAGCGCAACCCUUAUCCUUUGUUGCCAGCGGUCCGGCCGGGAACUCAAAGGAGACUGCCAGUGAUAAACUGGAGGAAGGUGGGGAUGACGUCAAGUCAUCAUGGCCCUUACGACCAGGGCUACACACGUGCUACAAUGGCGCAUACAAAGAGAAGCGACCUCGCGAGAGCAAGCGGACCUCAUAAAGUGCGUCGUAGUCCGGAUUGGAGUCUGCAACUCGACUCCAUGAAGUCGGAAUCGCUAGUAAUCGUGGAUCAGAAUGCCACGGUGAAUACGUUCCCGGGCCUUGUACACACCGCCCGUCACACCAUGGGAGUGGGUUGCAAAAGAAGUAGGUAGCUUAACCUUCGGGAGGGCGCUUACCACUUUGUGAUUCAUGACUGGGGUGAAGUCGUAACAAGGUAACCGUAGGGGAACCUGCGGUUGGAUCACCUCCUUACCUUAAAGAAGC